AUGUCUUUUUCCAUCUUUCUCAGUCUCCUCUAUUUCUCUCUCCUGUCUCUUUCUGUCUCUCCUCUGUAUCUCUCUCCUUUUUUGUUUCUAUAUGGGCUUCUGUCUCUGUCCAUCUGUCACUGUGUCUCUCUCUGUCUCUUUUCUCCCUCUGUUUAUCUUUUUCCAUCUCUCUUUCUCUUAUUCCUCUCUGUCUCUCUCCUCUCUCUCUGUCUCUCUCCUUCUCUCUGUCUCUGUCUCUCCCUCUCUCUCUAUCCCUCUCUCUCUAUCCCUCUCCCUCUCCCUCUCCCUCUCUCUCUCUCUCUCCCUCUCCUCUCCCUCUCCCUCUCCCUCUCCCUCUCCCUCUCCCUCUCCCUCUCCCUCUCCCUCUCCCUCUCCCUCUCCCUCUCCCUCUCUCUCUCUCUCUCUCUCUCUCUCUCUCUCUCUCUCUCUCUCUCUCUCUCUCUCUCUCUCUCUCUCCUAUCUCCUUUUAUUUCUUGCCUGUAUCUCUCUUCUUUUUCUGACUGGGAUUCUUUCUGUGUCUUUCCCUCUGUCUCUUUGUGUCUCCAUUUCUUUCUCUGUCUCCUCUCUUUGUCUCUCUCCAUCUCUAUUUUUCUGUCCCCUCUCUGUCUCUGUCUGUAUCCUUCUGUCUCUCCACAGUGUCUUUAUUUUUCUGUCUGUCUCCUCCCACUUUUUCUAUCUCCUGUCUCCUCUCUUUCUCCUUCUGGCUCCCUUCUGUAUACCUCUCAUUUUUUGUUUGUUCUGUUCUCUUUCUCUUCCUCUGUCUCUGCCUCUCUUCUGUAUCUAUCUCCUUUUCUGUUAUUGUUUGUACUUCUCUAUCUCUUCCUCUAUCCCUUUGUCUCUCUCUUCAUUGCUCUUUCUGUUUCCCCUGCCUCUCUGCUUUUCUCUUUUCUGAUUUUCCUCUCUAUCUCCCUCCUUUUCUGUUUCUAUGUGAGCUUCUGUCUCUCCAUUUCUUUGUCUCCUCUCUCUAUUUUCUUUCUCUUUUCUGUUUGUCUGUCUUUUUCUCUCUCUUCAUCUCUCUCUCCUUCUGUCUCUCCUCUGUAUCUCUCAUUUUCUGUUACUAUCUGUACUUCUCUCUAUCUAUCUCUCCCUCUGUCUCUUAGACUCUUACCAUCUCUCUCUGUCUCCUCUUUGUCACUGUCUCUUUGCUUUGCUCUCUCUCAUAUCUGUAUCCUUUUCUGUUUCUAUCUGGGCUUCUCUCUGUCUCUCUCCUUCUGUCUCUUUGUUGUCUCUCCCUCCAUUUUUUUCUCUGCCUCCUCUUUGUCUCUCUCCAUCUCUAUCUCUCUGACUCCUUGA
RNAcentral lists this long non-coding RNA (1293 nucleotides) under Monodelphis domestica (gray short-tailed opossum). Its description in RNAcentral is "lncRNA (ENSMODG00000047507.1)". Lineage: Eukaryota; Metazoa; Chordata; Mammalia; Didelphimorphia; Didelphidae. The record is from RNAcentral.